RNAcentral lists this transfer RNA (72 nucleotides) under Alosa alosa (allis shad). RNAcentral describes it as "tRNA-OTHER". Lineage: Eukaryota; Metazoa; Chordata; Actinopteri; Clupeiformes; Clupeidae. The record is from RNAcentral.
GCCGUAGCCUACUGGUUAGCGCUUCGGACUUGUAACCGGAGGGUUGCCGGUUCGAUCCCCGACCAGUAGGCA